GUGAUGGUUGUAGUGGGUUCACCAGUUGUUGUCGACACAGCAGUGACUGUUGUUGUGGGUUCACCAGUUGUUGACACACCAGUGAUGGUUGUAGUGGGUUCACCAGUUGUUGUUGACAAACCAGUGAUGGUUGUAGAAGGUUCAUUAGUUGUUGUAGAAACACCAGUUAUUGUCGUAGUGGGUUCACCAGCUGUUGUCGACACAGCUUUGACUGUUGAUGUGGGUUGAACAGUAUUUUUUGUUGACUCAGUGAUGGUUGUAGUGGGUUCACCAGUUGUUGUUGAUGAAACCGUGAUGGAUGUAGUGGGUUCACCAGUUGUUGUCGAUGCCCCAGUAACAGUUGUAGUGGGUUCACCAGUUGUUUUUGUUGACUCAGUGAUGGUUGUAGUGGGUUCACCAGUUGUUGAUGAAGACUCAAGGAUAGUUGUAGUGGGUUCACCAGUUGUUGGUGACACACCAGUGAUGGUUGUAGAAGGUUCAUUAGUUGUUGUAGAAACACCAGUGAUUGUCGUGGUGGGUUCACCAGUUAUUGUCGACACAGCUUUGACUGUUGAUGUGGGUUGAACAGUAUUUUUUGUUGACUCAGUGAUGGUCGUAGUGGGUUCACCAAUUGUUGUCGAUGCACCAGUGACUGAUCUAGUUUGUUGACCAGUUGUUUUUGUUGACUCAGUGAUGGUUGUAGUGGGUUCACCAGUUGUUGACGAUGACUCAGUUAUAGUUGGAGUCGGUUCACCAGUUGUUGUUGACACACCAGUGAUGGUUGUAGUGGGUUCACCAGUUGUUGUUGACACACCAGUGAUGGUUGUAGUGGGUUCACCAGUUGUUGAUGAAGACUCAGUUAUAGUUGUAGUGGGUUCACCAGUUGUUGAUGAUGACUCAGUUAUAGUUGUAGUGGGUUCACCAGUUGUUGUCGACACAGCAGUGAUGGUUGUAGUGGGUUCAUCAGUUGUUGUUGAUGAAACUGUGAUGGAUGUAGUGGGUUCACCAGUUGCUGUCGACACAGCAGUGACUGUUGUUGUGGGUUCACCAGUUGUUGACACACCAGUGAUGGUUGUAGUGGGUUCACCAGUUGUUGUUGACACACCAGUGAUGGUUGUAGAAGGUUCAUUAGUUAUUGUAGAAACACCAGUGAUGGUUGUAGUGGGUUCACCAGUUGUUGAUGAAGACUCAAUGAUAGUUGUAGUGGGUUCACCAGUUGUUGUCGACACAGCAG
Oncorhynchus tshawytscha (Chinook salmon) is the source of this 1213-nucleotide long non-coding RNA. NCBI's taxonomy places the organism in Eukaryota, Metazoa, Chordata, Actinopteri, Salmoniformes, Salmonidae. The record is from Ensembl.